CAGUAGCCGCGGUAAUACGAAGGGGGCUAGCGUUGCUCGGAAUGACUGGGCGUAAAGGGCGCGUAGGCGGAUUGUUUAGUUAGGCGUGAAAUUCCUGGGCUUAACCUGGGGACUGCGCUUAAUACAGGCAGUCUAGAGUGAGGAAGAGGGUUGUGGAAUUCCCAGUGUAGAGGUGAAAUUCGUAGAUAUUGGGAAGAACACCAGUGGCGAAGGCGGCUCACUGGCUCAUUCUAGACGCCGAGGUGCGAAAGCGUGGGGAGCAAACAGGAUUAGAUACCCCGGUAGUCCCUGUCUCUUAUAC
This 301-nucleotide ribosomal RNA is filed under the name uncultured bacterium. Its description in RNAcentral is "partial 16S ribosomal RNA". It matches the Rfam family "Bacterial small subunit ribosomal RNA", at positions 509 to 807 of the family's 1533-position model. The record is from RNAcentral.